This 195-nucleotide unclassified non-coding RNA is filed under the name plant metagenome. RNAcentral describes it as "partial contains small subunit ribosomal RNA, internal transcribed spacer 1, and 5.8S ribosomal RNA". The record is from RNAcentral.
UCUCCGUUGGUGAACCAGCGGAGGGAUCAUUACCGAGUUUACAACUCCCAAACCCCUGUGAACAUACCAUUUGUUGCCUCGGCGGUGCCUGCUUCGGCAGCCCGCCAGAGGACCCAAACCCUUGAUUUUAUACAGUAUCUUCUGAGUAAGUGAUUAAAUAAAUCAAAACUUUCAACAACGGAUCUCUUGGUUCUG